This 471-nucleotide ribosomal RNA is filed under the name Nonionella sp. T1. RNAcentral's name for it is "SSU rRNA". It matches the Rfam family "Eukaryotic small subunit ribosomal RNA", at positions 1178 to 1458 of the family's 1831-position model. The record is from RNAcentral. Lineage: Eukaryota; Foraminifera; Rotaliida; Nonionidae.
GGAGCAUGUGGCUUAAUUUGACUCAACGCGGGAAAUCUUACCGGGUCCGGACACACUGAGGAUUGACAGGUAACGUUAUACACACAUAUAUUUACUCUCGGGUAUUUAUACUGCUGUGUAUAUAUAAAAUAUGCUAGUCCUUUCAUGAUUAUGUGAUAGGUGGUGCAUGGCCGUUCUUAGUUCGUGGAGUGAUCUGUCUGCUUAAUUGCGUUUCACUAAGGAUCUAUAUUCAUAUUACGCAUAGCAUUUUGACCCCUUUAUGCUUCGGUAUAAAGCUGCGCGUCAAACCUUGCUAUCUGCGUAUAUUAGAUCCUGAAAGCAACGAACGUGACCGCAACCUCUUGUUGCCUUUAACUAGGUUUUGCUUACGUAUAGCUUCGGCUUUACGCUUUGCAUCUAAAAAGGCUGAUUUUCUAAACUAGAGGGACCGCUGUUACUUUCUUAAACCAGAGGAAGGUUGCGGCAAUAACA